UUGAUAGGUUUCUUUGAUAUGUAAAUUUGGUUGACAAUAUCGUGAGUGCCACAAGAGAAGCUCUGAUAGAUGGAGGGUGCCUGAAAACUCAACCUGGCUGCUUGACCCACAUCAUAUAAAUAUAAGAAGGCAUAUGCACAGAUUUAUAAGGCCAGAAAAUAUUCCCGUUGAACAUGGAGGAUUGAUUCAACCCAAAGACUUUAAGAAUGGUCCCCCUCAACCAUGUUUUAAGUUAUAAUUGUUGAAGCCUGAAGGAGGAGAAAAAGCUAACAUACAAAUAGAAGGAAUUGAGGUUUCAAGUAUAACUUUAGUGUUUUAAGUAUAAUUUUGUAACUUUGUCAUUCUAAUUUAUGCUUCUAGGUAUAACUAUAUAUAAUUUUGUAAAUUUAUACUUUUCAGUGUAUAGCGUAUUAACUCUAAUAUUGUGGUAUGAUUUAGUGUGU
RNAcentral lists this long non-coding RNA (443 nucleotides) under Medicago truncatula (barrel medic). Its description in RNAcentral is "lncRNA gene3508". Lineage: Eukaryota; Viridiplantae; Streptophyta; Magnoliopsida; Fabales; Fabaceae. The record is from RNAcentral.